AUGGACAACGUUUGUGUGGAGCUAAGAAAUCCAAACUGGAAACUGGAAAAACUGACGCUGUCCUACUGUAAUCUGAUUGCUGCUUAUCUUCAGGAUCUCCUUUCUGUCAUCUGUAGCAGUGAGAACCUAAAAACCUUGGACCUAAGCUAUAAUUUAUUUGGUGAUGAAGGAAUGAAGCUGCUGUGUGAGGCCUUGGAAAAGCAGGAUUGUAACCUACAGACACUAUGUGAGUCUCCCAAGUUUCCUUUCUAGAAUAUUCCCUAAGUGUUAAGGUGAAAAGGGAAGUAGGAAGAGCAAAUAACAGGAAAAAAAGAAAUUUAAAAAAAUUUUUCAAUUAAAAAAUCCACCUUAUCUUCCUCUCUCACUCCCCUCCCCUGCCAAUUUGAAAAAAGAAAAAGAAAACUUCUGUAACAAAUAUGCAUAGUCAAGCAAAACAUAUACCCAUAUUUGCCUACCCCAAAAAUCACGUGUUCUCAGUCAGUACCCUGAGUCCAUCACCUUCUCUGUGAGGGGGGAGGUAGUGUGCUUCAUCGUGAGUCUUCUGGAAUUGUGAUGGGUCAUUGUGUUGAUCAGAGUUCUAAAGUCUUUCCAAAGUUGUUUGUUGUUAUAAUUGUUACUGUAUAAACUGUUUUCCUGGUUCUGCUCACUUCCCUCAAAAUCAGUCCAUACAAGUCUUCCCAGGUUUCUCUGAAACCAUCCCCUUAGACAUUUCUUAGAGUAUAACGAUGUUCCAUCACAUUAGUAUACCACAACUUUUUGGGCCAUUUCUCAUUUCAUGGACACAAUCUUAGUUUCAAGUUCUUUACUGGAACCACAAAAAGAGCUACAAGCAGGGAAAACUGAAGAAGGACCCCAGAGUCAUCCAGUCUCAUCCAAUCUGAUUCUAAGACAUUUUCUUUCUUGCUGGACAUUCUAGGUAGGAGAGCCCUCCCCUUCUCGUUCCCCUACCUUCUGCUGGGGUUAGUUUGCUCAGAGGAGAGUCCACUUCCUUCUGACAAAUCCAGUGGGCUUCUCUAGUCUUUUUUUCAGUCCAUCCCCUUCACCUGAGACCUGUUCCUCCGUCUUACUCUUCUCUCUUGUUUCCUUCUGGAAAGGAAGGGUCAGUGUGUCUAGUAUGAAAAGGCUGAGCAGCCCUGGAAGACAGAUGCUGGAAAAGAGGCAUGGAGGGAUCUGUUAAGGACAACUGCCACAUUAAUGCUUACAUGUGAGGACUGAAUCUCUUCCACCCACUAAUCCACAGGGCAGAGACAAUGAUCUUCUGUUGUUUUCCUGUAGCUCCCACAGAAUCACAGCAUCUCAGAGAAAGACCCCUCAUCUAUUCCAGAGGGUCGGACCUUGGGGCUAAAACAUUUCCCAGGGUGGCCCAACCAGAUUCAGAUGGGAAUGUUUAGUAAAAUAAAUAAAAAUGCAGUGCAACA
Molecule: long non-coding RNA, 1418 nt
Filed under: Phascolarctos cinereus (koala)
Lineage: Eukaryota; Metazoa; Chordata; Mammalia; Diprotodontia; Phascolarctidae
Description: lncRNA (ENSPCIG00000027240.2)
Source: RNAcentral